GCGCCCGUAGCUCAGGGGACAGAGCGAGCGGCUUCUAUCCGUUUGGUCGGGGGUUCGAAUCCUCCCGGGCGCG
Molecule: transfer RNA, 73 nt
Filed under: Nitriliruptorales bacterium
Lineage: Bacteria; Bacillati; Actinomycetota; Nitriliruptoria; Nitriliruptorales
Also listed under: 2 other names
Rfam family: tRNA
About the family: Transfer RNA (tRNA) molecules are approximately 80 nucleotides in length. Their secondary structure includes four short double-helical elements and three loops (D, anti-codon, and T loops).
Source: Rfam by way of RNAcentral